This is a long non-coding RNA of Nyctereutes procyonoides (raccoon dog), 640 nucleotides long. RefSeq lists it as uncharacterized. Lineage: Eukaryota; Metazoa; Chordata; Mammalia; Carnivora; Canidae. The record is from RefSeq and is a predicted model, not a curated record. The transcript has 4 exons.
GCACCUGACUGCGCGAGAAGCCGACACCGCAGCGCACGGCCGGGUCAGCAGACGGAAAGAGCCGUCGGUGCGGGGUCUGCGGGGCGGGAGACCGCCCCGGCCCUCGAGGGCGUCCAGAGCGUCCUGAUCUUCAAGGUCGCGAAAGUUUUCGUGAUUGCACCUUCAGGUGUCAGGUGUUAGCGUGGCCCAGUUUAAAUAGAUUGAAUGCUCUCCUGCAAGUCAUUUCUCUGGCUAGAAACCAAGGUCUGCUGUGAGAGUUGCUGGAUAAAGAUGUACCUUGCAAGAAGUUGCUGUGACAAAGCCUCCUUCUGUGUGAAAACAGAGCUGAACUUUAUUGCAAGCACCCUUGGGCGAGGUUCCAUGACUCAGAGAGAGAGAGAGAGUCGGGCAAGUCACAGUGAGUUGGGGAAGUCGCCAUAUUUUAAUUUUUAAUAAUGUCUCUAUCAGCUGGCUCACUAAAUUCCUGAAAAUUUAGUAAUCAGUUCUAUUGAACUAGCUGGCUCCAGGACACUACUAGCAGGUACUUAACAAUUAUCAUAUCCAUUAGAGAAUUUGGGAGCUCUUGAAGACCAGUGUUUGAGACAAGAAACAAACAGUAUGAGUAGGACAUAAGAGUAAGCCAAAAAAAGAUCUGAAUGAA